AGCGAACGCUGGCGGCAGGCUUAACACAUGCAAGUCGAGCGGGCACUUUCGGGUGUCAGCGGCGGACGGGUGAGUAACGCGUGGGAACGUGCCCUCUGGUUCGGAAUAACUCAGGGAAGCUUGAGCUAAUACCGGAUACGCCCUUUUGGGGAAAGGCUUGCUGCCGGAGGAUCGGCCCGCGUCUGAUUAGCUAGUUGGUGAGGUAACGGCUCACCAAGGCGACGAUCAGUAGCUGGUCUGAGAGGAUGAUCAGCCACACUGGGACUGAGACACGGCCCAGACUCCUACGGGAGGCAGCAGUGGGGAAUAUUGGACAAGGGGCGCAAGCCUGAUCCAGCCAUGCCGCGUGAGUGAUGAAGGCCUUAGGGUUGUAAAGCUCUUUUAUCCGGGACGAUAAUGACGGUACCGGAGGAAUAAGCCCCGGCUAACUUCGUG
RNAcentral lists this ribosomal RNA (435 nucleotides) under uncultured bacterium. Its description in RNAcentral is "partial 16S ribosomal RNA". It matches the Rfam family "Bacterial small subunit ribosomal RNA", at positions 29 to 507 of the family's 1533-position model. The record is from RNAcentral.